This is a long non-coding RNA of Cavia porcellus (domestic guinea pig), 3593 nucleotides long. RefSeq lists it as uncharacterized. The transcript has 3 exons. Lineage: Eukaryota; Metazoa; Chordata; Mammalia; Rodentia; Caviidae. The record is from RefSeq and is a predicted model, not a curated record.
CCGAGAGAGGCUGCAUCAAGCACAGUUAGCUUCCUCAUCUGUGGCAGUUAAAAGAAAAAGGAUUUGAAUGGCUACUUGUAAAGAAGAUUAUAAGUGGAAUUCUGCCUCAGUGGGAAGUUUAACUUAAUAGAAAAUGUAAAGGUCCUUCUGCUGCAAGGAAAAUGCCCUGGCCUGUCAGCCGCUCUGCGAUAUGCAUUACACUGGCAUGCUCAUUCCGCCUGUCCUGCCAGUUUCUGAAGCGGUUGUGCAGUCGUCCUUCUGGUGUGAUACGAACUGCAGUGAGCGCUGCCUUCAGGCUCCGGCCAGGAAAGGAGCCUGUAAAACGUGAGCCGGGGCCCACCGUGCUCAGGGUCUGUCCCUGUCAGUUCCUGACUCUUCCCUAAAGUCAAGACGCAGGCGCAAGGUAACCGUAUCGGUUCUGGACAUGGACGCAGCCGGGCAGGGAUGAUGAAUGCUCACUUCUGCCUGGAACCUGCGCGCACCGACACUCUGGGACUGCCCGUCCCCCACCGCUUCAGCCCAACUUCCUGUGCUGCACGGAUGGAGGACGGCUUACAGCGGACUCAUCCGUGUCCUGCCACGAUGGUCUCUGGAAGUUAAGCAAGGGUGCAGCACCUCUUCAGUGCCCCUGGGUACCAGUCUCUAGGCUUCGGCUCCCCAGGUUACAAGUAUGGCUCAGCUGCUUGGCCUCUCAGCCUUUCUCUGCCUGAUCAGGAUACAUUUGCAGAGAGAAAAGCACCCCUAAAUACUAGCCUGAGCUUCCUGGCAUUUCUCUCCCACUCAGCCCUGCCUGUCAUUUUUGUUAGCUCUCUAGUAUCUUCAGACAAUUGUGUGUUAUAUUUUAUUUAACAACUUUAACAUACGCUCAGGGGGAAUGAGCUAAUUAUCUGAGUAUUUAAUUAUUUAACUGGUGAUUACAGAUGCUGGAUGAGUGGUAGGUUAUGGGGCUUUGGAAGUCUUUGAAAUGGGUGAAAUUGAGGCGUGAGUCAGUAACACUGACUGAAGGAAUGACGUGGACUAAGAACCAGAAGUAGGUUAUGUAUUUAUCUUUGCUUGGGAUGUAAAUGUAAAUUAAAGAUCUAUUCUGUGCUGUGUUCUUUGGGCAUGAGACAUUAACUGAACAACUAAGUUGAAUGUAUUCUAGAAAUUUCAUGACUGCAUAGUGAGAAGAGACACAGUGAGAAGAGGUUGAGGCUGAAAACAAAGAGAACACAAAAACUAAACUAAGAUAGGCUCGUAGAGGGAGGGAAUGGGAUUAAGAACAGACGGAGGGCUGACCCUUAACAGGAAAAGGCCUGAAGAAAGAUAAGAUGAAACUAGGUACAGACAGAGUUAAACUCACAGAGUUUAGAAAUCGGAAAAAAUAUUGCCUCUUCAAUUUUCUAGAAGUAGGAGGCAAGGUUAAGGGUGGGCUGGGGGCUGGAUGUGAAUUCUUAGAAUAAGUACCGGGGUGGCUUGGGAGCAGGAAAUACAGUUAGGAACAAGCAGUGGCCCGCUGCGCACUAUCCCAGGUUUUUUCUCCAGCAGUGUUUGCAGGCCUCAAUGCAGGACGAGGGGAUUGAUUCACUCCAAAUGAGGGCUUUGUAGAAUACAUACCACAGAAGGACUAGGGCCCAGGGAUUGCAGGGCACUAGGAAGAGAAUGGCAGUUAAGUGAGAUAGAAAGGGAGGCCAUUCAGGAAGUAGGUGACGGCGAAGUUAACAGAAAGAUGUCAGUAGCCUGAAGGUCCUCUUGAGAUCAGAUGAGACAGUGAGCAAAUAAAGAGGGGAGAAAGAAAAGAAAUUAGGGCCAGAAGUUAGAAUAUUGAUUUAUGUCAUAAGGGAGGAAGCUCUAGAGGUACUGAAUGGCCACUGGCGGGUUUGCCGGUGCUAGUAUAAUGCGAUAGACGGUAAAAUGAAGGAAAAAAAGACCAAACAAAUGAAGGUACUAAAGGUUAGUCUGAUGUUUCUCAGUCUUGCUUUUAAUUACUGCUUCUUAAAAGUCUUCUCCAGACACUUUUUACCUGAUUGUCCUCCUUCCCAAGAAGGUCUGCUACCUCAGCUAUACCGUAUAUAUCUAUUUAUUUACUGCAAUAUCUGUGAUGAUUUUCUCCCAAGAACCAAUUUCCACCCCUCCCGCAGCUCUUCUCCUGAAAAGGCGAGGGCUGGAUAGCAGGCUGGGCGGGCCACAUGCUCGCUGCAGUACUCGGGCUCUCAGUUCUCACUGCCAGGGGCUUUUUCCAUAUAAUAUAAAUAGGCGCCAGGGUUCACUGGAAUAUUGGUGAAAUUCAACGUUUCACUGGAUUUUAUUAUUUCAAAGAACAGGUCAUCUUGUAAAGAUUUUAUUGGGAUGUAUUUAGGCUGCUAACAAAUGCUACGGCUCUGUAAGAGUUUAUAAAAGGUUAAAUGUUAUUGAAUAGGUGUGCUGCUUCGUGGUGUUAGGGAUGGAUAUUACUUAGGUAAAGGACAUUUAAUAUAAAAAGACUACCUUUCUUGGCAGUGGUUUUCUUUUCUAUGUGAAUAGUGCCAAAGCGUUCACUACUGCUGUUCUACAGCUUGCCACUUGAGGGCAGCAACAACAUUUUGGGAAUUGCAGAAUGGGAGCAUUUACUAGUUAAGAAAGAAAAAUAUUAAAGAUCCUAUCACAUGAUGAGGGGAAAAAGGGAUGGCGCUGUGCUCACAUGAAUACCUACAUUCCUGUACAGUCGAAGGAAACAUUUGCAAGACAGAAGUAUUUGUAAGCUGUACUUAUUCUCCAAUAUGUUUCUUUUUCUAUCCUAGAUCCAGACUAUUUAUGGUUUCCAUAAGUAACUACUCAUAAAUGAAGUCAACAGCAGAGCAGAUUACUUUUCCUCGCUGAGUCUCAGUUCCUCAGCUAUGAAAUGGCAGCAUAUAUUUACAAGGCUGAGGUUAAAUAUGGUCUCAGGAAAAGGUAACUGAUAGUAAUGACCACACUAAAGGCAUGGACAUUUUACAGAAGUGUGAAGAAUGCUUAAUCAUUCCAGCAUUUCAACAAUCAAGGAAACCCAAAGUUCACAAGGAAAUUUUAUACUUCAUGGAUUGGCAAGAGGCACAUGAAAGUUGGUCUCUAGUUUCAAGAUAUAACUGGAAAAGCCCUAGAGUAUGGCUAGGUACGGUUGUGAUUAAUUUUCUAUGUUCCGUUCACUAGGUCUUCCACAUAUAGUAUAGUACAGAUAUACCCUAUGUUACAUGAUAAGGAAAUAAAAAUGGAAUGAAACAAAAUAGCCAGCCCUCAAAAGACAGCAUCUAGCAGGAGGGAAAAGAUGUUGCAGAAAUAAUUACAGCACAAGAUAGCAUGGGAUGGAUGAGAGGAGAGGCACAGUGUACUAGGGACUUCAGAAGAGAGACAGACUGAAGUCUGCCGGAGGGAGCUCACCAAAGGUUCAGGAAAGCUAGUAAGUCUCAAAAUGUGGCGGGUCGAGAUCAACAGGGAGAGCUUUCCCACUUGAAUGAACGAUAUGAAGACAGGGAUGGAGUGUUGGGAAAUCAAGAGGAAGAGCUAACGUAAUUUGGUUUGUUCAGAAGACACAGUGGAGUCAAGAGACAUUUGCAAAGGACAGACAGGAGCCAGUUAUAAAUGUCCAGGGAGCAGAG